Molecule: ribosomal RNA, 252 nt
Filed under: uncultured bacterium
Lineage: Bacteria
Description: partial 16S ribosomal RNA
Rfam family: Bacterial small subunit ribosomal RNA
Source: RNAcentral
UACGUAGGUCCCGAGCGUUGUCCAGAUUUAUUGGGCGUAAAGCGAGCGCAGGUGGUUUAUUAAGUCUGGUGUAAAAGGCAGUGGCUCAACCAUUGUAUGCAUUGGAAACAGGUAGACUUGAGUGCAGGAGAGGAGAGUGGAAUUCCAUGUGUAGCGGUGAAAUGCGUAGAUAUAUGGAGGAACACCGGUGGCGAAAGCGGCUCUCUGGCCUGUAACUGACACUGAGGCUCGAAAGCGUGGGGAGCAAACAGG